GGGUUGAGCUGGCUUUGAUAUCUGAUGUCCAGGAUUGAUUUGGCUAAUCUGGUUUGCUAAGUACCAGUCUUCACUUAUUUAUUCCAUUAAAGUCCCUACCGAAAUUAUGCCUUGGUCAAAGGGAGCAACAUUCCCAGAGUGAGAGGGACCAUUCAUUAGUCAAGGCUAUAUCAAUUAAUGAGCUCCAUUUUUUUGUUGUAAAAGAAGGUGUACUUAACCACAGUUCUCAGCUCUUAACUUGUGCUAACAGAUCCAGGAGAGAUUGU
This 266-nucleotide small nuclear RNA is filed under the name Microcebus murinus (gray mouse lemur). Its description in RNAcentral is "7SK RNA (ENSMICG00000026203.3)". It matches the Rfam family "7SK RNA". Rfam says of the family: 7SK was discovered as an abundant small nuclear RNA in the mid-70s but a possible function has only recently been suggested. Two independent studies have found that 7SK RNA binds the CDK9/cyclin T complex (known as elongation factor P-TEFb). P-TEFb activates transcription by phosphorylating the C-terminal domain of RNA polymerase II. The record is from RNAcentral. Lineage: Eukaryota; Metazoa; Chordata; Mammalia; Primates; Cheirogaleidae.